AUUGAACGCUCUUGGCAGGCCUAAUACAUGCAAGUCGAACGGUAACAUAAGAAAAGCUUGCUUUUCUUGAUGACGAGUGGCGGACGGGUGAGUAAGAUUUGGGAAACUACCUGAUAGAGGGGGACAACAGUUGGAAACGACUGCUAAUACCGCAUACAGCCUCAGGGUGAAAGAAGCGAUUCGCUAUCAGAUGUGCCCAAACGGGAUUAGCUAGUAGGUGAGGUAACGGCUCACCAAAGCAACGAUCAGUAGCUGGUCUGAGAGGACGACCAGCCACACUGGGACUGAGACACGGCCCAGACUCCUACGGGAGGCAGCAGUGGGGAAUUUUGGACAAUGGGCGCAAGCCUGAUCCAGCUAUUCCGCGUGUGGGAUGAAGGCCCUCGGGUUGUAAACCACUUUUGUAGAGAACGAAAAGACACCAUCGAAUAAAUGGUGUUGCUGACGGUACUCUAAGAAUAAGCACCGGCUAACUACGUGCCAGCAGCCGCGGUAAUACGUAGGGUGCGAGCGUUAAUCGGAAUUACUGGGCGUAAAGGGUGCGCAGGCGGUUGAGUAAGACAGAUGUGAAAUCCCCGAGCUUAACUCGGGAAUGGCAUAUGUGACUGCUCGACUAGAGUGUGUCAGAGGGAGGUGGAAUUCCACGUGUAGCAGUGAAAUGCGUAGAUAUGUGGAAGAACACCGAUGGCGAAGGCAGCCUCCUGGGUCAUAACUGACGCUCAGGCACGAAAGCGUGGGGAGCAAACAGG
RNAcentral lists this ribosomal RNA (749 nucleotides) under uncultured bacterium. RNAcentral's name for it is "bacterial SSU rRNA". It matches the Rfam family "Bacterial small subunit ribosomal RNA", at positions 28 to 776 of the family's 1533-position model. The record is from RNAcentral.